Molecule: ribosomal RNA, 255 nt
Filed under: uncultured bacterium
Lineage: Bacteria
Description: partial 16S ribosomal RNA
Rfam family: Bacterial small subunit ribosomal RNA
Source: RNAcentral
UACGGGGGGGAGCAAGCGUUGUUCGGAUUUACUGGGCGUAAAGGGCGCGUAGGCGGUCGUGACAAGUCACUUGUGAAAUCCCCGGGCUUAACCUGGGAACUGCAUUUGUGACUGCAUGGCUGGAGUGCGGCAGAGGGGGAUGGAAUUCCGCGUGUAGCGGUGAAAUGCGCAGAUAUCAGGAGGAACACCGGUGGCGAAGGCGGGUCUCUGGGCCGAUACUGACGCUGAGGAGCGAAAGCGUGGGGAGCGAACAGG